UUAAAAAGCUCGUAGUUGAAUUUCGGGAUCAAUACGUCGGUCGUGCUUCGGUACGUACUGGCGUCAUUGAUUUCUCCCUUCUGACGAACCAUGAUGUCAUUAACUUGGUGUCUUGGGAAAUCAGGACUGUUACUUUGAAAAAAUUAGAGUGUUUAAAGCAGGCUCACGCUUGAAUACAUUAGCAUGGAAUAAUGAAAUAGGACGUUCGAUCCUAUUUUGUUGGUUUUUAGGAUCAACGCAAUGAUUAAUAGGGAUAGUUGGGGG
This 264-nucleotide ribosomal RNA is filed under the name uncultured Glomeromycotina. RNAcentral describes it as "partial 18S ribosomal RNA". It matches the Rfam family "Eukaryotic small subunit ribosomal RNA", at positions 619 to 888 of the family's 1831-position model. Lineage: Eukaryota; Fungi; Glomeromycota. The record is from RNAcentral.